GACAGAGGUGCCGAGCGUUAGGCGGAAUCACUGGGCUUAAAGCGUGUGUAGGCGGGGCGUUAAGUACCUUGUGAAAUCCCACGGCUUAACCGUGGAACUGCUCGGUAUACUGGCGAUCUUGAGCCACUUAGGGGUCAGCGGAACAAAUGGUGGAGCGGUGAAAUGCGUAGAUAUCAUUUGGAACGCCAAUGGUGAAAACAGCUGACUGGGAGUGUGCUGACGCUGAGACACGAAAGCCAGGGGAGCGAACGGG
RNAcentral lists this ribosomal RNA (253 nucleotides) under uncultured bacterium. RNAcentral describes it as "partial 16S ribosomal RNA". It matches the Rfam family "Bacterial small subunit ribosomal RNA", at positions 524 to 776 of the family's 1533-position model. The record is from RNAcentral.